Molecule: ribosomal RNA, 544 nt
Filed under: uncultured Glomeromycotina
Lineage: Eukaryota; Fungi; Glomeromycota
Description: SSU rRNA
Rfam family: Eukaryotic small subunit ribosomal RNA
Source: RNAcentral
UUGGAGGGCAAGUCUGGUGCCAGCAGCCGCGGUAAUUCCAGCUCCAAUAGCGUAUAUUAAAGUUGUUGCAAUUAAAAAGCUCGUAGUUGAAUUUCGGGGUUCUACCGUUGGUCGGGCUUUGUCUGUACUGGUGUGUAGAAUUUCUACCUUCUGGGGAACCAUCAUGCUAUUAAUUUAGCGUGGUGGGAAACCAGGACCUUUACCUUGAAAAAAUUAGUGUGUUCAAAGCAGGCUUAUGUCUGAAUACAUUAGCGUGGAAUAAUAGAAUAGGACGGUGGUCCUGUUUUGUUGGUUUCUGAAUCACCGUAAUGAUUAAUAGGGAUAGUUGGGGGCAUUAGUAUUCAAUUGUCAGAGGUGAAAUUCUUGGAUUUAUUGAAGACUAACUUCUGCGAAAGCAUUUGCCAAGGAUGUUUUCAUUAAUCAAGAACGAAAGUUAGGGGAUCGAAGACGAUCAGAUACCGUCGUAGUCUUAACCAUAAACUAUGCCGACUAGGGAUCGGACGAUGCUAAUUUUUCUUGACUCGUUCGGCGCCUUACGGGAAAC